RNAcentral lists this ribosomal RNA (253 nucleotides) under uncultured bacterium. RNAcentral describes it as "partial 16S ribosomal RNA". It matches the Rfam family "Bacterial small subunit ribosomal RNA", at positions 524 to 776 of the family's 1533-position model. The record is from RNAcentral.
UACAGAGGGAGCAAGCGUUGUUCGGAAUUACUGGGCGUAAAGGGCGCGUAGGCGGUUCGAUAAGUCCCGUGUGAAAUCCCUCGGCUCAACUGAGGAAUUGCACGGGAAACUGACGGGCUUGAGUUCGGGAGAGGGAAGCGGAAUUCCGGGUGUAGCGGUGAAAUGCGUAGAUAUCCGGAGGAACACCGGUGGCGAAGGCGGCUUCCUGGACCGACACUGACGCUGAGGCGCGAAAGCGUGGGGAGCAAACAGG